RNAcentral lists this ribosomal RNA (460 nucleotides) under uncultured bacterium. RNAcentral describes it as "partial 16S ribosomal RNA". It matches the Rfam family "Bacterial small subunit ribosomal RNA", at positions 338 to 795 of the family's 1533-position model. The record is from RNAcentral.
CCUACGGGAGGCAGCAGUGAGGAAUAUUGGUCAAUGGACGCAAGUCUGAACCAGCCAUGCCGCGUGCAGGAAGACGGCUCUAUGAGUUGUAAACUGCUUUUGUACGAGGGUAAACUCAGAUACGCGUAUCUGUCUGAAAGUAUCUUACGAAUAAGGAUCGGCUAACUCCGUGCCAGCAGCCGCGGUAAUACGGAGGAUCCAAGCGUUAUCCGGAUUUAUUGGGUUUAAAGGGUGCGUAGGCGGUCGGAUAAGUUAGAGGUGAAAUCCCGAGGCUCAACUUCGGAAUUGCCUCUGAUACUGUUAGGCUAGAGAGUAGUUGCGGUAGGUGGAAUGUAUGGUGUAGCGGUGAAAUGCUUAGAGAUCAUACAGAACACCGAUUGCGAAGGCAGCUUACCAAGCUACUUCUGACGUUGAGGCACGAAAGCGUGGGGAGCAAACAGGAUUAGAUACCCCGGUAGUC